Molecule: ribosomal RNA, 426 nt
Filed under: uncultured bacterium
Lineage: Bacteria
Description: bacterial SSU rRNA
Rfam family: Bacterial small subunit ribosomal RNA
Source: RNAcentral
GGGGAAUAUUGGACAAUGGGCGCAAGCCUGAUCCAGCCACGCCGCGUGAGUGAUGAAGGCCUUCGGGUUGUAAAGCUCUGUGGGAUGGGACGAAAAAAGCGGAGGCGAAUAGGCUCUGCUCUUGACGGUACCGUCUUAGCAAGCACCGGCUAACUCUGUGCCAGCAGCCGCGGUAAGACAGAGGGUGCAAACGUUGCUCGGAAUUACUGGGCGUAAAGCGCGUGUAGGCUGACUCGUGUGUCGGGUGUGAAAUCCCUGGGCUCAACCCAGGAACUGCAUCCGAAACUGCGAGUCUGGAGUAUCGGAGAGGGAAGCGGAAUUGCUGGUGUAGGGGUGAAAUCCGUAGAUAUCAGCAGGAACAUCUGUGGCGAAGGCGGCUUCCUGGACGAUUACUGACGCUGAGACGCGAAAGCGUGGGGAGCAAAC